RNAcentral lists this non-coding RNA (139 nucleotides) under unclassified sequences. Its description in RNAcentral is "Bacteriophage Diversity-Generating Retroelement RNA". It matches the Rfam family "Bacteriophage Diversity-Generating Retroelement RNA". The record is from Rfam by way of RNAcentral.
GCGCCACGUUGCUUACGGGCGCGUGGGCCGACCAUCAAACCUAUGGUCAGCCGUGUUGUCCUGCUUCGGCGAAUACCUUUGGGGGUCUGGUAGAGCGUCUAGUAGCCUGUGGCGACACACGGCGAACGACGCGGCCAGC